CGCUUAUUAGUUUAAUGGUAUAACGCACAUACUGCACUUGUGAAUUCUCGGUUCAAUUCCCAGAUAAGCCU
Molecule: non-coding RNA, 71 nt
Organism: Oopsacas minuta
Lineage: Eukaryota; Metazoa; Porifera; Hexactinellida; Lyssacinosida; Leucopsacidae
Source: the annotation of a GenBank genome assembly